Molecule: ribosomal RNA, 253 nt
Filed under: uncultured bacterium
Lineage: Bacteria
Description: partial 16S ribosomal RNA
Rfam family: Bacterial small subunit ribosomal RNA
Source: RNAcentral
UACGAGGGGUGCGAGCGUUGCUCGGAAUUAUUGGGCGUAAAGGGUAGGUAGGUGGUUUCGUUUGUCUGGGGUGAAAGCCUUGAGCUUAACUCAAGAAGUGCCUCGGAAACGGCGAAACUCGAGUACUGGAGAGGGUCGUGGAAUUCCCGGUGUAGCGGUGAAAUGCGUAGAGAUCGGGAGGAACACCAGAGGCGAAGGCGGCGACCUGGACAGUGACUGACACUCAACUACGAAAGCGUGGGGAGCAAACAGG